Long non-coding RNA from Amphiprion ocellaris (clown anemonefish), 326 nucleotides. The record is from Ensembl. NCBI's taxonomy places the organism in Eukaryota, Metazoa, Chordata, Actinopteri, Pomacentridae.
AGAAAAUCCUCGUGCUCUUUAGUGUGGUGCGUUCUCAAAUGUCUGAUUAAGUUCGUCGUGUUGAAGGUCGCCACGCAGCUUCCGCCUCUCGGUACACCGGCUUUACAGACAUCGCAUCUUGCCGUCUUGCUUUUCGGAUUUCCCAGUGUGAUUGGCUGCAUAGAUGGCACCACAUCCCCAUCACAGCUGCCUCACAUAGUGAAGCUGAUUAUGUGAACAGGAAGUCCAUUCACAGCAUAAAUGUGCAGGCAAGAGGAAAAGGUGCAACAGAAAAUUGGACCUUCCAAGCGUGCUUGUGGAGAUGCAGGCCGAGAAGGAGCGGAACC